GAUGAACGCUGGCGGCGUGCUUAACACAUGCAAGUCGAACGAAGCACUUUAUUUGAUUUCCUUCGGGACUGAUUAUUUUGUGACUGAGUGGCGGACGGGUGAGUAACGCGUGGGUAACCUGCCUUGUACAGGGGGAUGACAGUUGGAAACGGCUGCUAAUACCGCAUAAGCGCACAGCAUCGCAUGAUGCAGUGUGAAAAACUCCGGUGGUAUAAGAUGGACCCGCGUUGGAUUAGCUAGUUGGUGAGGUAACGGCCCACCAAGGCGACGAUCCAUAGCCGACCUGAGAGGGUGACCGGCCACAUUGGGACUGAGACACGGCCCAAACUCCUACGGGAGGCAGCAGUGGGGAAUAUUGCACAAUGGGCGAAAGCCUGAUGCAGCGACGCCGCGUGAGCGAAGAAGUAUUUCGGUAUGUAAAGCUCUAUCAGCAGGGAAGAUAAUGACGGUACCUGACUAAGAAGCACCGGCUAAAUACGUG
RNAcentral lists this ribosomal RNA (481 nucleotides) under uncultured bacterium. Its description in RNAcentral is "partial 16S ribosomal RNA". It matches the Rfam family "Bacterial small subunit ribosomal RNA", at positions 28 to 507 of the family's 1533-position model. The record is from RNAcentral.